Molecule: long non-coding RNA, 1997 nt
Filed under: Mus musculus (house mouse)
Lineage: Eukaryota; Metazoa; Chordata; Mammalia; Rodentia; Muridae
Description: long non-coding RNA chr6:30809277-30811274
Source: RNAcentral
UACGUUGUUUCAAUAGAAAACCUGAAUGCUUUUUUAGGCUAUUACUGUGCACAUUCAGUUCCUCUUUUAACAUUAUCAUCAGCAUUUUUUCCUUACAGAUUUAGUUUUGAAAGUAAUACCUAUAUAAUAGUAAUCAACUUUAUAAACACACCCACCCCCAACAUUAAAUUCUGGAAAGAAUUACAUUCUUGAAAAUUAAAAACUUGUCAAGACAUUCUAAGAGCUCAAGAGGCGAUGCAUUUUAGAGCACUAAGUACCUUCUCCCUUCUAAGAGUUAGUACCUGCUGUAGGAUCUUCAUCUGGCAAUCGAACAAGUGUGUAGCAUAUUCCUGGCUGAUUGUAAGGGAGGCUGGGAGCUGGGAUACAGCACAGCACUUCAUAGGAAUCGGAUGGUUCCAUCUGCACUGUUACUUUCUCCAGCAGCUGGUCAUUUAGAGUGUUGGUACAGUCAAACUGAAAAGUCAGCAAUAGAAAACUUGUAAAGAAUAAGAAAUGCUUUCCAAUAAGUGGUUUCUACUCACUCAUAGUUCACAGUUCAGCUCUGGCAUCUACUAUACUCAACACUAAGUAGCACUGUAGGUCUCCUAAGGCUUUUCUUCUUUUUGUAUUAGAUUGAAGGCAAGCCUUAUACCUGCCAUGAGUGUUCUCCCAACUGUGUCUGUGAAACAGACAGGCUUAUUAUGAGUGCUUUGUGCUGAGCCAUCAGUGUGUGUCUUCCUGAGUCUGUCUCUACUUCAAGGUGUUACAAAGCUAAGUUCUGUGACCAACACACUUAGUUGACCUUGUUUAAAUACUGAUUUUUAAAAAAUUAUGCUGUAUAUCUAUUUUUGGAACAUUUUAAUUUUAUAUCCUUUUAGAUUUUAGUUAUCAAAAAUAGCCCAUCAGAGGAAGAAACUUAGUAUACAUCUAAAAAGAAAACUGGAAGUGUUGCUUAAUCAAUCCUUUAUGAAAGGAACUAGAAUCAUAAACUAUAGGGAAGUACUAUUUGUCUCCAAGUAUAGCAGCUUGUACUUAAAGGCUAUAAAAGAACCAAGAGUUAGUUUGUUAUCUCACCUGGAAUACAAUAUGGUCAGUAAACAUGUGCUUCACACAGCGAACGAAAUACUCUGUCUCUGCUUCUGUAAGCUGCACAGGCUCAGAAGACUUAAACAAGGGUCCCAGGUUCAUAAACUCAGGAAUGGCAGCUAACUGUUCUGUUAAGUACAAAGAGAAAGAAAAUACAAGUACAGUAUGAAGAAGACAGGAAGAGACUUUAUUAAAAUGCUUUAGUUACCACAGAGUAGAAAGAGCGGUUAAUUUUAAGGUUUUACUAACAAUUGAAAAGUCAAUUUGGAGAUCUCCAAACUUCUGUGAAAUAAUCCUUUAAGUUGCCAAGUUUAUAUACUAGAUUCCUUUAUGUAGGAGGGAAGAAGAAACUAAAUUGCUAAUUCUUUCUCUCUUAACCAACAAAAUAUGCACAAGAAUAACAGUCCCAGGUAGUAAACUAGUAACUGGAAAGUCCAUGAACAGCAGGUAGCUCCAGCCACUAAAGCCUAUGACACAGGAAAAUGUACAGAAUUGAGAAUUAAUCAAAAUGAAUAAAAGCAGUGGAUGUUAUUAAUUUAUAAUGCCUAGGGAUUAAAAACUAUUGUAUUCAUAAAAAUAUACCUUGGAAAAUGUCUUGCCUGGAAGGAGCCAACUUCUCUGGCUUAGGAGUCACAAGUGUAAUUUCUAGAAAGACAGAAAUAAGCAGUCAAGUGAAUUUUUUUCUACUUCUAACUGACCUUGUAUACAGAAAGAAAUGAAGGCAAUAACUUCUAGUAGAUACACAGUGGCAAACAGCUUCAAAUAUUGUGAUAUUUUGUAUUAAAUAAUUAAAAUUUUUUUUCAACUUAGGACAUAUUUCUUAUUCUGGCUUUUGGAUAAAACCAAAGAGGCUUAAAAAUGAAAAUCUUAAAUUUAAAAAAUGUCAUCUAUCUUAGUACUAAAAGAUCUCAAGGAAUAAAAAAAAAAGUAUU